UAGGGAAUCUUCCACAAUGGACGCAAGUCUGAUGGAGCAACGCCGCGUGAGUGAAGAAGGUUUUCGGAUCGUAAAGCUCUGUUGUUGGUGAAGAAGGAUAGAGGCAGUAACUGGUCUUUAUUUGACGGUAAUCAACCAGAAAGUCACGGCUAACUACGUGCCAGCAGCCGCGGUAAUACGUAGGUGGCAAGCGUUGUCCGGAUUUAUUGGGCGUAAAGCGAGCGCAGGCGGAAUGAUAAGUCUGAUGUGAAAGCCCACGGCUCAACCGUGGAACUGCAUCGGAAACUGUCAUUCUUGAGUGCAGAAGAGGAGAGUGGAACUCCAUGUGUAGCGGUGGAAUGCGUAGAUAUAUGGAAGAACACCAGUGGCGAAGGCGGCUCUCUGGUCUGCAACUGACGCUGAGGCUCGAAAGCAUGGGUAGCGAACAGGAUUAGAUACCCUGGUAGUCCAUGCCGUAAACGAUGAGCGCUAGGUGUUGGGGACUUUCCGGUCCUCAGUGCCGCAGCAAACGCAUUAAGCGCUCCGCCUGGGGAGUACGACCGCAAGGUU
RNAcentral lists this ribosomal RNA (549 nucleotides) under uncultured bacterium. RNAcentral's name for it is "partial 16S ribosomal RNA". It matches the Rfam family "Bacterial small subunit ribosomal RNA", at positions 355 to 895 of the family's 1533-position model. The record is from RNAcentral.